UAAACAACGCUAGGUUCAUCCACCCG
Molecule: non-coding RNA, 26 nt
Filed under: Rattus norvegicus (Norway rat)
Lineage: Eukaryota; Metazoa; Chordata; Mammalia; Rodentia; Muridae
Source: RNAcentral